Molecule: non-coding RNA, 65 nt
Filed under: unclassified sequences
Source: RNAcentral
UGCAGAUGGGCGCCUUCGGGCGUUAAUGCGCUGAAACCAAAGGUUCCACCAGGUCCAAAGUCCUG